Mirounga angustirostris (Northern elephant seal) is the source of this 2204-nucleotide long non-coding RNA. RefSeq lists it as uncharacterized. Lineage: Eukaryota; Metazoa; Chordata; Mammalia; Carnivora; Phocidae. The record is from RefSeq and is a predicted model, not a curated record. The transcript is spliced from 3 exons.
GGGGCGGGCUUGUUUACGGCCCGACUGCGCAGGCGUGCUCACCUGGCGCGCUCCGCGCGGCUGGGCGUCCGCAUGCCCCUCCCCCUGGCGCGGCCUCGGGGCCGCCCCCUGGCCGGACAGGUGGGCAAGGCACCGGCCGGGGGUCGGGCUGGCUGUGCCGCCUCCGCCUCCCCGCCACCCCCGGGGCCGAGCCGGAAAGCCGAAGCCACGGCAGGCCUGUGGUCGGGAGCGCAGAGGUGAACUCGAGCGGCCUCCUCAAGUGCCUCGGCCCCGCCCUGAGGGGCCCCGGGACCCCGGGGAGCGGAGGGAGAGGGCAGCCCCCCCCCCGUGCAGGGUCCGCACGUGGGGUGCCGAGAGCCGAGCCCCGGAGCCCCGGCGUUCUGCCUUCGGGAGGACGCGGGGCGCCCCGAGGCUGGGGGAGCCCCUCCCGCAGGCCCGCCCCGGGCCACCUGCGCGACCGUCGGGGAGCCCCGCAGCGCCUCCCGGAGCCGGUUUCCGAGAAGGUACCGAGGGGCCUCAGUUUCCCGCUUCGCGGCGGUUCUUUAGGCGGGGCCGGGGGAGAGCGCGCGGUGCGUGUGGACCCACAGCGCGUGUCUUUGGAAGUCGGCGCUCUGGACGCCUGUCGGCGGAGAACAUUGGCCAACGUGGAGCAAAUUACGUGUGGUUAACUGUGGUCCAGAAGCAGAUGAUCCUCCUUCUCACUGUUGUCAGGAGUCCUGCCUCACUAACAAAUAAGGUUCCAUCUCUUCAAUUUGUAAGGCACUCUGAGCGCUUCCUAAGAAAGCAAAUUCAUUAUUUUUUCGAGAUCCUCCCCACGCCCACCCAACACCGAACUCCUGGGAACGCUGGUGCGUCUUUCAAAGUUCCUUUGGUUGCCAAAAACAGGAACCUAGCUCCCAGUAGUGUAAACGCAAUGGGCUUGUGGCCUCCCAGCGCCGAGCUAUGGGAGACACGGGCUGGAGCGUGGCUUCCCUGCCUGCAUCUUGAAAGCUUCUCACUGUUUCUCAUCUCCGACUCUCCCUGGUGGCUUCAGUAUAACGUUGGAUAUGAGAAGGAGAAAUAAGCUCUUCCCACCAAUUCCAGUGAGAAAACACCCGGGGAAGGGCUGUGAUUGGUGCGACUGCAGUCUGAUCCUGUCCCAAACCAGUCACCACAGCCGGGCGCCCACCCUGCGGAACUAAGCUGGGCCACUCCGCCAGAGUCCCAGGCUCAGUGGGUCAGGAGCACGGCCCCGUGAGCAAAGGAGAAGGAACGCGCGCUGAGCUGAGCAGACAGUGGCCGUCCACCACGCUGAUCAGUGACCCGGUCCUCCCGGCCACCCCUGCUGAGACUCGGACAGCCUGUGCAGGGCAGGAGGGCCCCACUCCCCGAAGCUGUUGCAGAAGCGACACAGCGUCCUGCAGACCAGGACAGUUCAAGGCUGCUCAAGUGGGACUCUGUCCUCACAGCUCCCUGUGAGCAGCGAUUCCUCAGGCUGUGGCAAAGGCACAGUCCACCCAGGCCAUGCUCACACCCCACUCAGUCUCCUUGGGGUUCCAACAAACUGCUCUGUGGCCCUGGGCGCUUCAUCCUUUUCCGGGGUGUGUCCAAGAGCCAGCCACUGCCCAGGAUUCCUGCCUCGCCUCCUCUCCCCAGGGCAGAGGCCCCCCCUUCCUCCUGGUCCCAAGCUCAGCUCCAUUUCCUAAUCCAGGGGGCUUUUCAUUCCUUUUGGGAAAACCCCACUUUGUUAUAUUGGCUUGUUCAUGGGACAGUUUCCUUCAUAAUGAAGCAUCAGCCCCUCCUAAGGGGCUCUUUGUAGUGGUGCUGCUUCUGAGACCAAGCCAAGGGUGGCCCAUUAACAACUCAAAAUCCAAUGGCUCAGUCGGUGAAGCAUCUGCCUUUGGCUCAGGUGAUGAUUCCAGGGUCCUGGGAUUGAGCCCCUGCUCAGCGGGGAGCCUGCUUCUCCCUCUCCCUCUGCCUGCCGCUCCCCCUGCUUGUGCUCGCUCUCUGUCUCUGUCAAAUACAUAAAUAAAAUCUUUAAAAAAAAAAAAAAUCCACUGCCACUUCUUGAGCACUUACUAUGUACAAGGCAUCUCCCCUCCUUCAUCUAAUUUAACCCCCCAAAUACUCGCAGGAAGUAGGUAUAAUCAGUCCCGUGUGACUGAUAGGAGAAACUCUCACAAGGCAAGUGUGUGACAGAGCCUGAAUGUGAACAUGGUUUUUGA